CAAAAAUGUACGCAAAUGUUGUUGUGGUUAAAAAGCUCGUAGUUGAAUCUCGGCAAGCUGGGGGCGGUGCGUUCAUUCGACGUCACUGCCCCAUUUGCUUGUGAAUAUUGAUGGAGGUGUUGGGGUGCUCUUAACCGAGUGUCCCAGUGCGCCGUCAGGUUUACUUUGAAAAAAUUAGAGUGCUCAAAGCAGGCCUUACCGCUUGAAUAUUCGUGCAUGGAAUAAUGGAAUAGGACGUCGUUUCUAUUUUGUUGGUUUUCGGAAAUCGACGUAAUGAUGAAUAGGGACAGUCGGGGGGCAUUAGUAUUCAGACGACAGAGGUGAAAUUCUUGGACCGUCUGAAGACUAACUACUGCGAAAGCAUUUGCCAAGAAUGUUUUUCAUUAAUCAAGAACGAAAGUUAGAGGUUCGAAGACGAUUAGAUACCAU
RNAcentral lists this ribosomal RNA (429 nucleotides) under uncultured eukaryote. RNAcentral's name for it is "bacterial SSU rRNA". It matches the Rfam family "Eukaryotic small subunit ribosomal RNA", at positions 592 to 1018 of the family's 1831-position model. The record is from RNAcentral.